This 253-nucleotide ribosomal RNA is filed under the name uncultured bacterium. RNAcentral's name for it is "partial 16S ribosomal RNA". It matches the Rfam family "Bacterial small subunit ribosomal RNA", at positions 524 to 776 of the family's 1533-position model. The record is from RNAcentral.
UUCGUAGGGUGCGAGCGUUAAUCGGAAUUACUGGGCGUAAAGCGUGCGCAGGCGGCUUUGCAAGACAGAUGUGAAAUCCCCGGGCUCAACCUGGGAACUGCAUUUGUGACUGCAAGGCUAGAGUACGGCAGAGGGGGAUGGAAUUCCGCGUGUAGCAGUGAAAUGCGUAGAUAUGCGGAGGAACACCAAUGGCGAAGGCAAUCCCCUGGGCCUGUACUGACGCUCAUGCACGAAAGCGUGGGGAGCAAACAGG